GUCAAGGUCACAAUCUUGAGGGCAGAGCCAUCAGAAAGAGGAACAGAAGAGGGUGGUGGAACCCGGAACAGCCUGCCCGCCCCGUCCCCCGCCGAAGGCACAGGAGGAUGGCGGGCCCCUUCUGCAGGCUCCUGGGUUAAGAAGCCGGGCUGGAGGACUUUGCGCCUGGACCCCGGGGAGGCCCCCGAAGACAGACUGCGAUGGGAGGAAGGCGGGUGUGGAAAUCCGAGCACGUAUUGUAAGUAGAUCAAAAAGAUGUUACGAGGCGCCUGGCUGGCUCAGUCAGUAGAGCAUGCGACCCUUGAUCUCAGGGUUUUGAGUUUGAGCCCCAUGUUGGGUGUAGAGAUAACUUAAAAGUAAAAUCUUAAAAAAAAAAAAAGAUGCCACAAUAACUCCUUCACUUCUCGAAUCCAUAUGCCUUGCAGUGUGACUUUGCCACUCAUCCCAUCAAAGUUUAUCAGGAUGCUUGUGGCUGUAACAGAAACCCCAGUUAAACAGUGGUUUAACCAAUAGGAAGUUAAAGGCUCGUGUAACUGGAUACCCAGUGGGAGAAUGAGCCUGUGACCAGCGGUGUCAUCACGGACCCUGAUUCUUUCCAUCCUUCAGAACUGCUGUCUGCAGCAUCAGCUUUAUCCCGACGCUGCUUCUUUGAGGGGUCAAGGGAUGUAAAGUAUCCGUAGCUUUUCCUUUAGACCAGGGGUUCCUGACCUUGGCACUACUGACAUUUUGGCCUGAAUGAUUUUUGUGGGGGGGGCUGUCCUUUGCGUUGUAGCAUGUUUAGCGCAUCCGUGGUUUCUCUCCCCUAGAUGCCAGAGCUCUUCUCCAGUUGGGACGAUCAAAAAUGUCUCCAGACAUUGCCCAAUGUCUCUGGGGGUCAAAGUUGCCCCCAGGCAAGAACCAGAUGUGUUUACUGGCAAUCUAAGGCUCACAUGACCACAUCUGAACCAGUUAUUGAGAGAUAGACAGCCAGCGAGAGAGGGAACACAAAGGGGGAGUGGGAGAGGAAGAAGCAGGCUCCCAGCAGAGGAGCCCGACGUGGGACUCGAUCCCGGAACGCCGGGAUCACGCCCUGAGCCAAAAGCAGACGCCUAACCGCUGUGCCACCCAGGCGCCCCUGAAUUUGUAGAUUUCUAAUAAUGUAUAUUGUUAAACAGCAUCUAUAUCCACCCCUAGAACCUAAGAGAGAGACAGCCAGCAAAAGAGGGAACACAAGCAGGGGGAGUGGGAGAGGAAGAAGCAGGCUCCUAGCGGAGAAUCCUGAUGUGGGACUCGAUCUCAGAACGCCGGGAUCACGCCCUGAGUCAAAGGCAGAUGCUUAACGACUGCACCACACAGGGGCCCCUCUCAUUGAACUUUCUUUUCCCCAUCUCCCUUUGUCCUGCAUUCUGGGAAUAUUCUUCUGCCUAAUCUUCUAGUUUUCUAUUUAGGUAAAGUAUUCUACAGUUCAGCCCAUCUACUGGGUUUUAAAUUUCAAUGGUUUCAUAUUUUUAUUUACAAAUACUUUAAUUGGUAUCCUCCUACAACUGGCUGUCUUCAUUUCAUGGACGUGAUGCUCACUCUUAUUUCUUCGAGGAAACUGUUUUAAGAUGUGAACUCUGUGUCAGUGAUGGUAACAUUAGCUGCUGUAACAGGAAAAGCCCACCCCAAAGUUAGUGGUUUAACACAAUGACCGUUCACUCCUCAUUCCUGUGAGGCGCAGAAAGGGAGGUGGCUCUGCCCCCCACCUUUGGGGAUCUGAUUUGACAGAAGUUGACUCGGGACCUUGUCUCCUUCUUCAGGUAGCUGCUUCUCCGUUUACAGGUUAGAAAAUUGAAACUGCAGCUGAGAGUAUUAACUAGCUCCCCCAAAGGGCAGGUUAGGGCGCCCCCAAAGGUGUAGAAGCAGAAGCCCAACUGGCAUCAAGGCCUGUGCUUUUCCCCCACUGUAUGCAGUGUUUCUUUCUUUUGAAGAUUUUAUUUAUUUAUCUGAGAGAGAGCGCGUGCAUGAACGGGGAGGGAGAGGCAGAGGGAGAAGCAGACUCCUUGCUCAGCAGGGAGCUGGGUGCGGCACUGUAUCCCAGGACCCUGAAAUCGUGACCUGGGCUGAAGGCAGACACUUAACCAACUGAGCCACCUGGGAGUCCUAUACAGUGUUUCUUCUUAAAGAGUUCUGCCUCCGAUCCACUCCAGGGGGGCUGGGGUACAGUGAUGUUGAGGGGAUUUGGUUCUAAAGCUAGUAAGGCAAAAGUUGCAUAUAGUUAAAAUCAAAUUAGAACAUUGUUUAUAUCCCUUAUAAAGCACAGUAUGCAGUAAUUCUUAGACAUAAAAGCUUGGAAACCACUGAACUAGAACCACCAAAAGGAGUCAUGAAAGGAAAACCAAUAUGGCAGACGUUCGGACCUUUGGUCUGUUCUGCUUUUCAGAUAACCCUCGUCUUUCUGGGUGAACAGAGGAUGGGUGGGUUGUUCUCAAAACGUUCCUGUAGGGUUACUCCAUUCUGUGUGAUAUGAAGCGCUUUGUGCCAGAUAUUAAGUUAUUGUCUCUCGGCUCCAAACCCAUGGUUUAUAUUCUGCGUUAUGAUGCAGGGGCUGGGAUGCUGCAAACUCCAUUGAUGCUUCCCAGCUGGUUCUGUUAGGCCCUGCCGGAUGGAGGUAAGGGAGGGAGUUUGCAAACUUGGGGAUGGGGGAAGCCGGGUAGGGGAGGCUGGCUCCUCCCUGACUGCUUUCUGUCGGUGCCCUGCCUGCCCGUGCUUCCUGAGCUCCACACCCUGGGUCCUUCCCUAAGCUUCCCUGUCCUGUCCUCUGCAACUUGCAGUUUCCCUGUUCUUGCAGAAUCAGCUUUAAAGCGACCGCAUGAGGGAUACCAACACGAGAAGCUGGUGCGCCCCCUUGGAGGCCAGAGUUUCAAUUCUGCACAGGUCUUUACUUACCUUCCAAGUUUUAGUACUUGUUCCUUCUUUGGUUGCCCUCAGUCCUAGGGGUGGUGGCUGCUUCUUCCAGCUGCUAUGGUAUCUGCUACUCCAGAACUCUCUUUUUGGCUUUUCAGUUACCUAGUUAACAACUUUAAACUUAGUUAACAGUUCUCUGUAGUAGACUCUUUGUUAAAUGACUGGCCUGGUUUCUGUCUCCUGACUGGUAUAUUUUUAUAUGCUUAAUUUUAUAUAUUAAAAGAUUUGUUGGGCACCCUGGGUGGCUCAGUUGGUUAGGUUCCAACUCUUGAUUUUGACCCAUCCUGGGGUCAUGAGGAUCGAGCCCUGUUGUGAGCUCUGCAUUGUGUGGAGCCUGCUUCAGAUUCUCUCUCUCCCUCUGCUCCUCUCCGCCUUCUCCCUCUCGCUCUUAAAAAAAAAGGGGUUUUUUUUGUUUAUGGUUGUGAUUUGCAACCAAGGAGUGUUAGGUCCUGAGAUCAGGGCAUCAAAUACUAAAAGUGGUUGGCUCUCCGUAUAUUGCCUCUCUAAUGUGAUCACAUUUGGCUGUUGGCCAUGGGCUGGAGCAGUCUGUGACCUCAGCUGAGACCCUUCUAGACAGGGCAGGGCACGUUACGGGAGCCGAGGAGAAAGCCCUUCAUCUGCACUGUGGUUACUGUUUGGUUUCCAGGGGUCUCUGCAAUAGAACAGGAAGUUUAUGUCUGUGUCACCUCACAGGUGGAAGGUCCUUGGAGAGACAUUCAUAGGCUAGCCCUGCUUUCAGUUUAGCUUAUAUAUCUGUUCCAUUUCCAUUUUCUCUGGCUCAGGGCCAGUGGGCUCUCCCCUACUUUUUCCUCCUUCCUUUCUCCCAUGGAGAUACUCUACAGCUUCUCUUUGCCAGGGGCCAUUGGAUGCUCCCUCCCUUCAAAUCACUGGUAGACACACCCCACCACCUCACCCCUCCACCCCCAACAUCAUGUGGCAUUCUCUUAAUUUCCUGGCAUGGAUCCUACAUGCCUUGGAUGAGAGUGGGGUUCUUAUAAAUCCAGAGCACUGUGGACGGUGGCCAACCUAGGCAUUUUUUUUUUAAGAUUUUUUAUUUUAUUUAUUCGACAGAGACAGCCAGCGAGAGUGGGCACACAAGCAGGGGGAGUGGGAGAGGAAGAAGCAGGCUCAUAGCAGAAGAGCCUGAUGUGGGGCUCGAUCCCAUAACGCUGGGAUUACACCCUGAGCCGAAGGCAGACACUUAACAACUGCGCCACCCAGGCGCCCCAUCAACCUAGGCAUUUCUUGUAAUCCAUGUGUCCUGGAGGAAUUCAUACCUGCUACCUGCAGAUGAAGAAACUGAGAAAUAUCAGUCACUUCUACAACUUAAUAGAAAAGACCCAACCCCCCCCCCCAAAAAAAGCCAA
Ailuropoda melanoleuca (giant panda) is the source of this 4292-nucleotide long non-coding RNA. RefSeq lists it as uncharacterized. The record is from RefSeq and is a predicted model, not a curated record. The transcript has 6 exons. Lineage: Eukaryota; Metazoa; Chordata; Mammalia; Carnivora; Ursidae.